This 1394-nucleotide ribosomal RNA is filed under the name Escherichia coli. Its description in RNAcentral is "bacterial LSU rRNA". It matches the Rfam family "Bacterial large subunit ribosomal RNA", at positions 637 to 2016 of the family's 2925-position model. The record is from RNAcentral. Lineage: Bacteria; Pseudomonadati; Pseudomonadota; Gammaproteobacteria; Enterobacterales; Enterobacteriaceae.
GUAGCAAGGUUAACCGAAUAGGGGAGCCGAAGGGAAACCGAGUCUUAACUGGGCGUUAAGUUGCAGGGUAUAGACCCGAAACCCGGUGAUCUAGCCAUGGGCAGGUUGAAGGUUGGGUAACACUAACUGGAGGACCGAACCGACUAAUGUUGAAAAAUUAGCGGAUGACUUGUGGCUGGGGGUGAAAGGCCAAUCAAACCGGGAGAUAGCUGGUUCUCCCCGAAAGCUAUUUAGGUAGCGCCUCGUGAAUUCAUCUCCGGGGGUAGAGCACUGUUUCGGCAAGGGGGUCAUCCCGACUUACCAACCCGAUGCAAACUGCGAAUACCGGAGAAUGUUAUCACGGGAGACACACGGCGGGUGCUAACGUCCGUCGUGAAGAGGGAAACAACCCAGACCGCCAGCUAAGGUCCCAAAGUCAUGGUUAAGUGGGAAACGAUGUGGGAAGGCCCAGACAGCCAGGAUGUUGGCUUAGAAGCAGCCAUCAUUUAAAGAAAGCGUAAUAGCUCACUGGUCGAGUCGGCCUGCGCGGAAGAUGUAACGGGGCUAAACCAUGCACCGAAGCUGCGGCAGCGACGCUGAUGCGUUGUUGGGUAGGGGAGCGUUCUGUAAGCCUGUGAAGGUGUGCUGUGAGGCAUGCUGGAGGUAUCAGAAGUGCGAAUGCUGACAUAAGUAACGAUAAAGCGGGUGAAAAGCCCGCUCGCCGGAAGACCAAGGGUUCCUGUCCAACGUUAAUCGGGGCAGGGUGAGUCGACCCCUAAGGCGAGGCCGAAAGGCGUAGUCGAUGGGAAACAGGUUAAUAUUCCUGUACUUGGUGUUACUGCGAAGGGGGGACGGAGAAGGCUAUGUUGGCCGGGCGACGGUUGUCCCGGUUUAAGCGUGUAGGCUGGUUUUCCAGGCAAAUCCGGAAAAUCAAGGCUGAGGCGUGAUGACGAGGCACUACGGUGCUGAAGCAACAAAUGCCCUGCUUCCAGGAAAAGCCUCUAAGCAUCAGGUAACAUCAAAUCGUACCCCAAACCGACACAGGUGGUCAGGUAGAGAAUACCAAGGCGCUUGAGAGAACUCGGGUGAAGGAACUAGGCAAAAUGGUGCCGUAACUUCGGGAGAAGGCACGCUGAUAUGUAGGUGAAGCGACUUGCUCGUGGAGCUGAAAUCAGUCGAAGAUACCAGCUGGCUGCAACUGUUUAUUAAAAACACAGCACUGUGCAAACACGAAAGUGGACGUAUACGGUGUGACGCCUGCCCGGUGCCGGAAGGUUAAUUGAUGGGGUCAGCGCAAGCGAAGCUCUUGAUCGAAGCCCCGGUAAACGGCGGCCGUAACUAUAACGGUCCUAAGGUAGCGAAAUUCCUUGUCGGGUAAGUUCCGACCUGCACGAAUGGCGUAAUGAUGGCCAGGC